RNAcentral lists this unclassified non-coding RNA (1306 nucleotides) under Melitaea cinxia (Glanville fritillary). RNAcentral describes it as "misc RNA ENSMCXG00005008528.1". Lineage: Eukaryota; Metazoa; Arthropoda; Insecta; Lepidoptera; Nymphalidae. The record is from RNAcentral.
AUUUCGACAAUCGUAUUUAUUUUAUUGACAACACAACAUUAUAGUCCACACGUGGCGGAUAGAGUGCUCGCGACACGGAGUGCGGCGCGCGACACAGGCACAGGACGGCCGCUACAGCGCGCUACGUCGCCGUACGUAGCGCUACGCGCCCCGUGAGGACGAGAGAUCGUCUAUUUUACGAAUACAACAAUCAAUAUAUCAUAUGUAUUAGCUUCUCCAACUAUGUCAUUAUAUGUGUUAACGCUAGAGGUAACGAUAUAUUUAUUUCAUACUUUUAUUUUAUUAACCAAUGUCUGGAUAAGAGAAUAUGACUUCAACAACGAACGAUAAAUUGUUAUACAAUACACGUCGGUGCUAUCUAUGCGACCUCUGCCACAGGACCGGAUACGUACACAGGCAUCGCUUGACACUUUCUAUAAUUUUAAUAAACACAGGCGACGUAUCGGUCCGGUGCCGGAUAUUGUCGACCCCUUUCUCUAGACAUUUUGAAUGCACCUCAUCCCGGAUUCGAGUAUUCGUCCAAUAAAUAUUUUUAUAUGACUUUUAUAAUCCAAAUAGUUACAUUUGUGCUCUAACAAAUAAAUAAUUAAUUACAAAAUAAUACACUAAGUAUUGCUAGAACCCUUUUAACUUCAUAUAAUAUACAAUAAGAUAUAAUAUAAAUAGCUCGUAGCAAUUGCAAACGUCAUCUCAACGUGAAUGUAGAAAAGUUCAAAACUAGGCAGUUCGAGUAUAGCAAGUACGACAGUGUAGCGCUAGUAGUGCCCAACAAACUAACGUAGAAACAUUAGGGAUAAUAUUCUAAAACGUACGAAAGCUAUAUCAAGUAUAGUAAUGCUUCAAGCUGGGCGUAACAACUUCUCCACGGCGAGCUCUUGUUGCGUAGCGAUGCUCCUUUUCCUCCUUUCAUUACUUUUCAUUUGGCGUCGCCCUAAUAAUGUUAUUCGCUACGUCCGGUUCGCAUUUCGCCUAUUUUGGGUGGCUUUGCCCACAACCUGUUUUGAGGGCUGCAUCCGCCCCUGUUAAAAACUGUCAACGAAUCAAAGACGCUACAGUUGGAUCGUCGCCUGACUUUACUUUGUAUUCGUGCCUCUUUGUAGGUAAAUACAUAUUUUUAUUAAGUUAUAUCGUAAUAAUAACAUAUAAUUGGACCAUUAUGAUUAACAUUUCAUUUAAUAAAUAGUAUUUUUGUAAUAAUAAUAAUAUAAUAUAGGAAAUGACAUAAAUAUGAUUUGUCUGUUCAAAGGCUAUUACAGUUUAGACAAAAUUACGCAUAAGAUACAUUUGAUUAAUAAAUAAGUACUCU